This 119-nucleotide ribosomal RNA is filed under the name Pteropus alecto (black flying fox). The record is from RNAcentral. Lineage: Eukaryota; Metazoa; Chordata; Mammalia; Chiroptera; Pteropodidae.
AUCUAUGGCCAAACCACCCUGAACAAGCCUGAUCUCGUCUGAUCUCAGAAGCUAAGCAGGGUCAGGCCUGGUUAGUACUUGAAUGGGAGACCACCUAGGAAGACCAGGUGCUGUAGGCA